UUUAAGAUACAACUGUGGGUCCUUUUGGAAGUUCCAGUUUAUUAAUAAUUAUCUUUACUCUGGAUAUACCUUUUGGGUGAUCCAGUACUAAAGAUGGAAAGGCUCUUUUUAGAGUCAAAGUGGGAAGCCACUUUUUAAGGUCCAUGUUCCUUUUAUAUAUGAAGAGCUUGCCUUUAUAUAAAGGUUGUUUUAAAAACAUCUUUACUGCAGAACUAUUGAUGUAAUAUUUUGAUCCUAACAUUUUUG
Pseudophryne corroboree (corroboree frog) is the source of this 246-nucleotide long non-coding RNA. RefSeq lists it as uncharacterized. NCBI's taxonomy places the organism in Eukaryota, Metazoa, Chordata, Amphibia, Anura, Myobatrachidae. The transcript has 3 exons. The record is from RefSeq and is a predicted model, not a curated record.